This 72-nucleotide transfer RNA is filed under the name Camelus bactrianus (Bactrian camel). It matches the Rfam family "tRNA". Rfam says of the family: Transfer RNA (tRNA) molecules are approximately 80 nucleotides in length. Their secondary structure includes four short double-helical elements and three loops (D, anti-codon, and T loops). The record is from Rfam by way of RNAcentral. Lineage: Eukaryota; Metazoa; Chordata; Mammalia; Artiodactyla; Camelidae. RNAcentral also lists the same sequence under 2 other names.
GAGGGUGUAGCUCAGGGGUAGAGUGCGUGCUUAGCAUGCACGAGGUCCUGGAUUCAAUCCCCAGUAUCUCCA